Molecule: unclassified non-coding RNA, 1616 nt
Filed under: Polistes fuscatus (common paper wasp)
Lineage: Eukaryota; Metazoa; Arthropoda; Insecta; Hymenoptera; Vespidae
Description: homologous-pairing protein 2 homolog, transcript variant X1
Source: RNAcentral
GGUUUGUAAACAGUGUUAAAAAAUAAUGGCUAUGGAUACCGUAUACAAACAUUUAAAAAUUCGAAACAGACCUUACAGCGUGAACGAUAUAGUGUUAAAUUUACAUAACGAAUUUGGAAAGUCUGCCGUUCAAAAAGCUAUAGAUCACUUACUCGCGGAAGGAAAGAUUUUUGAAAAAGUAUAUGGAAAGCAAAAAGUUUAUUGCGUCGUUCAAGACUCGACCAAGGAUAUAGAAGAAUUAAUGAGAAUCGAUAAGGAAUUACAAGUGCAUGCAAACGAAGUAGAGACCAGGUAUCAAGAGCUUGAGAAAGAGAUAAAAACUCAAGAAACUUUGUUGACAUCGUUAAAGUCAUCUGUCACUCUCGAAGAAGCACGCCGAGAGAAAGUUUUGCUCGAAGAAAGUAUUGAAGUUUUAGCCAACAAGUUAGAUGUACUUGUCGCAACUACCGGAAGUACGGAUUUAACCGAAACGAAAAAAAAAACGGAAUCUUCCUUAGACGAAUAUUCUCGUGAAUAUCUUAAACGUAAAAGAUUAUGUACAGAAUUAAUAGACUGCAUUCUGGAAAAUUAUCCUGGUACUAAAAGUGAAUUAUACGAUGAAAUAGGUAUAGAUCCAAUGAUUAUUAAGUAAUAAGACUAAUAGGAUAUAAAUAUAUUUUUCGUUGUUAUCAUGGGAUAAGGAUACAAAGGCACGACAAUUCAUUGCGUGCUGUUAAAGCGUCAUCUUCCAUUAGCCAAAUAAUUUGACAAUCUCUUGAAGCUUAAAUAAUGGGUCGAAAUGUUUAGACCAGGAUUUUUUAUCGUUGGAUUUCAUAUAAGAUCCUUCCAGGACGCACUUACCGUUGAGACAAUACUGAAAAAAGAACAAAUAAUUAAUUAUAACAAACUAAUUAGUCUAAUGCGUUAUACUUACAACUCCAUCUCCGCAAGGAGAGCCUUCGGCUGCUGGAGCUAUAGCUGUACACGCUCUCAUAGUUCCUGGUACUAGACAAUCUAAUCUAAUACAGGCGGUAUGAUCGGUCUGAAAAAAUACCAAUAUUCGAAUGUAUUUAACUAGUUAUGCUCGUAUCUAUAUACGUAUAUUUUUGACAACUUACAUUACACGCUCUUGUUCCUUGUCCGUGCACUUUUUUACAUUGAUAAUCUAGCGACAUUAAUUUGCCAGGUAGAAUUCGUGGUAACGGACGACCUCUGACGGGUUUAUUAUAAAGACAUUUUGCUCUUUCUUCGCUGCAAUAAUAAUACUCUUAGAUAUGUUACGAAUAGGAUAUGAAAUGGAAAAAAGGAAAGCUUACUUAAGGAAUGUAUAAAAUGCGUGUAUAGAACAGUUGGACCAUUGAAAUCCAUUUUCAUUGAGCAAUAGUCCACUGGUCAUGAUGAAGCCGUCAUCCGCCGAACAAUUGAUAUAUAUUAUAAGAAUUUUCACAAAGAUAGUAACGUACAGAUGACCAACUUCAUGAGCAGCUGGUAUAAUUCCGCUGAAACCACCAUUGUCUUCUACGAUACCAGCCAUUUCGGAAGUUUUGUUAUCGUCUUGUCUGUUACAUGCUCCUGAUACGUAUGCGUAACCUGUGUAAAUAAAUACAUCCAAAUAAAAUGUUGAAUAUUUAAAAUAA